Molecule: ribosomal RNA, 349 nt
Filed under: uncultured bacterium
Lineage: Bacteria
Description: partial 16S ribosomal RNA
Rfam family: Bacterial small subunit ribosomal RNA
Source: RNAcentral
CCUACGGGCGGCAGCAGUGGGGAAUAUUGGGCAAUGGAGGCAACUCUGACCCAGCAACGCCGCGUGAAUGAUGAAGGUCUUCGGAUGGUAAAGUUCUGUGAUGGGGGAGGAACACAAUGACGGUACCCCAAUAGCAAGCCACGGCUAACUACGGGCCAGCAGCCGCGGUAAUACGUAGGUGGCAAGCGUUAUGCGGAAUGACUGGGCGUAAAGGGGGCGGAGGGGGUUUAGGAAGGUGGCGGUGUAAUUCCGGGGCUCAACCGCGGCGCUACCGCCCAAACUCUUAGACUAGAGUGCAGGAGGGGUAAGUGGACUUCCUAGUGUAGCGGUGUAAUGCGUAGAUAUUAGG